AGUGAAUGCCGACCAUUAGAGACGCCGGUCCCUGUGAAGAUCCUAGGGCAGGAGUGCACGGCAUUACACAAGACUUCUUGUGAAUGAAAACUAGAUGUGGUAAACAUCCAGAAAAGGCAGAGACAAGAAGAAAAUGCACAGUAUUGGUACUGGGAUGUUUGAGAUGAGGUCUACAUGGCCCUGGCUGUCCCUGUUAAUCUGUCUAGUGGGCAGGGCAGCAUCUGCAUGGCCUGCAGAGUUGAUCUUUGUACAUUUUUUUGUGGGCUGUAUGUAAAUGGAUUGUUCUGACACUCCAUUCCACAGUGUUCUCUUCUGGGAAGGUUAUGGGUGAGCUGCUGGCACAGCUGUACAGCCUGAGCAAAGUGAAUGGAAUCAUGAAUGUGAGCGGCAGUUCACCAUCUUUGUGACUGUAAAAUUGGUUAUGAGCUAUUUCCUUCUUCAUCCAGCAGUGGUUACUUGGGAGUGCUGCAAUAAACAUUCAGUUGCAUAUA
This is a long non-coding RNA of Mastomys coucha (southern multimammate mouse), 491 nucleotides long. RefSeq lists it as uncharacterized. The record is from RefSeq and is a predicted model, not a curated record. The transcript is spliced from 2 exons. Lineage: Eukaryota; Metazoa; Chordata; Mammalia; Rodentia; Muridae.